Molecule: long non-coding RNA, 437 nt
Filed under: Manihot esculenta (cassava)
Lineage: Eukaryota; Viridiplantae; Streptophyta; Magnoliopsida; Malpighiales; Euphorbiaceae
Description: long non-coding RNA (MESC_LNC008004)
Source: RNAcentral
AUUGCAAUUGGAUUUCCUUGGAUGAGAGACUCUUUCGUGGCUCUUGGUUUUGUGUUGGAGGUGAUUGGAUUGGAUUUGGACUUCUAAAAAUUCGGAUUUCUGUUUUCUGUCCAUUUUCCCGCUCUGCUGUAAGUUUCUGCUGUCAAAGUGAUUUGCCCGGUGAUUUGAGCGAGCAGUGGACAAAUCACUGGGCAAAUCACUGCCUCUGUGAGUCAGUCCUCUAUGUCUCUGCGAGUGAUUUGGCCAGUGAUCUUCGAGUGUCUGGGGCAAAUCACUUGGCAAAUCACUACUGCUUAUUGCCUCCGGGUUUCUGCUUUAGCUUGAUCUGGGCAGUGAUUGGAGCAGAUAUCUGGUGAUCUUGGGCAAAUCACUGGGCAAAUCAUCCUUUUGUGAAUUUUCUGCACUUUUUCUUCCAUUUUUCAAUUUCUUCUUUUUCU